Long non-coding RNA from Oncorhynchus tshawytscha (Chinook salmon), 843 nucleotides. Lineage: Eukaryota; Metazoa; Chordata; Actinopteri; Salmoniformes; Salmonidae. The record is from Ensembl.
CUUCAUCAGUGUCACAUCACUCCAGUCUAAUCCAAACCACAUGAUUCUACUGUGUGUGUAGGGCAGGGCUCUGUAUCGCUAAAGAUAAAUGUAACCUGACAGAUAACUAUGUCUACGGCAGACAGGAUUUCAGAGAAUACAAACUUGGUUUCAUUUAAAGUUGUGUAACAGUCAAAACCCUGUGUGGAUCAGGAUAAAACUCUCUCUGGCUUUACUUUGGACGGUCUGUGUGUCUUUGGAGGAACCACAGGUCCAGAAGAAGUACAGUAUGAGAGAUAGCUAGCCUAUCAUGGCUGAAGAGGACCACUAAGGUGGUACCCAGCAGUUACUGUGUUGUCUAAAGCCCAAGCUGAUCGAUGCUCUGAGUGCAGACCCUAACUUUGUGCAGCAGCAUUCAGACUCUCUCAGACUAAUGUCCCGGCGUGAGUACCAGCAGGUCAAAGCCCUCACUGAGGCAUUAGAAAAGGCCCGGGACCUUCUGAACCAUGUGAUCCACAAAGGAGUCGCUGCUGCAGAGGAGUUACUGCAGUUCCUGAUAGUCAAUGAACUGCAAGAGACGUUUCCAAAACUUCCAUUCCUCAAGAAACUGUCAAUGAAUCAUCAAAGAGCUGCAGGGGGAAAUUAAUUUACCAGAAAGAGAAGAAGAGAAGACAAACCAUUGAGUCAGAAGAAACCCUUCCUGCUAAACAGACAAGCAAGAAUAGUUAGUUUUCCUGCCGGAACAGGAUCUGGCACCUCAGAUUUGACUUUGUUUGUUUCGGCACCUAUUUACCCGGAUCCAGUACCUCUCAUGAUUUAUUCCAUUUUUCACUGGUCGUACUGUAAACAUUUUAAUAAAAGCGA